Molecule: long non-coding RNA, 831 nt
Organism: Harpegnathos saltator (Jerdon's jumping ant)
Lineage: Eukaryota; Metazoa; Arthropoda; Insecta; Hymenoptera; Formicidae
Exons: 2
Source: RefSeq, a predicted model, not a curated record
CGUGAAAAACUUACAAUACAUGUGAAUUUGUCGAGACGGUAAGACGUGUCGGAAAGAUCUAAACUCGUAUUAAAUUUCCGUAAGUGAAAUACAGAUUGAACGUAUGAAAACUGUGUUUAAAAGACCUUACGAAAUUCAACAAGAAUAAGUUGUCAUACUGUAAUAAAAAAAGUUACUAAAAAAAUUUGAUUUCAUAACUUUAGUUUCUUGGAUUUAAAUUUGUGAAGAACAUUGGGAUUAUUAAACGGUACAAUGAAAAUAUUCCUUCAUGUUUUCUUAACAAUUAUGCUGAUAAUGUCGGGCCUAAUAUCGCUUGGAAUGUCAAAAAGAGUCCGUCGAGGAGUGUCUGUCAUCGAAGUAGAACCACCUCAUAUAAGACACUUCCCGAAAGAAGCGACUUGUCCACCAGGAGAACUUAUAGAUCCACACGGAAUAUGUCGGAAAUUACGACGUGAUAAAUAAUAAAAUUGAAAAUAAGCAGGCCUGAAUAUUUGACACGUUCCACCACAAAAGAAAUAUCUGAUAAUACAGAAAAUGAAAGAAAGUAAUUCAAGAAACACAAAAUAGCAUAUGGCAACUUACAAAUAUAAAUAAACAUUAAUUAUCACUAAUGAAGUCAAUGAAGUUCUGAUGUUUUAUAUAUCUUCUGGAAUAAUCUAUAAUCUAUAAUAAUUUACUGAUGUUUGUAAUAACGAUAACUAGUAUAAGUGUUAUGUAUGUAAUAUAAUAUAGUAUGUUAAAACUGCAUGAAAAAUUACUCGAUUAAAGAGUCUUAACAAAAUUAAUUUAUUAUAAUUGUGACACUAAGAGUUAAUAAACAACUUACUAUAA